Molecule: long non-coding RNA, 1391 nt
Organism: Patella vulgata (common limpet)
Lineage: Eukaryota; Metazoa; Mollusca; Gastropoda; Patellidae
Exons: 2
Source: RefSeq, a predicted model, not a curated record
UAGUUUACAUAUAAAUUAUAAUAGUUUACAUAUAAAUUAUAAAAUUAUGAUAGUUUAUAUAUAAUUAUGAUAGUUUACAUAUAAAUUGUGAAAUUACGAUAGUUUACAUAUAAAUUAUGAUAGUUAACAUAUAAAUUAUGAUAGUUAAUUAUGAUAGUUUACAUAUAAAUUAUGAUAGUUUACAUAUAAAUUAUGAUAGUUUACAUAUAGUUUACAUAUAAAUUAUGAUAGUUUACAUAUAGUUUACAUAUAAAUUAUGAAAUUACGGUAGUUUACUAUCUACAUAUAAAUGAUAUAUUUCAUAUUUGUUUUAAUAGCUUUCAUUAUAUAAGCUUUCUUUAUACAAUGAUUCAUGUCAUUUUUGUAUUUGUUUAUAUAUUUAUAUGAAGGCCUCUUAUCCAAAACAUGAUAAACACUCUUCCAUUUUUGGUGAAAAAACAUCCCAAAGAAAGUAUUGAAAUAGUACAGGGUAUAAUUUUUUAUUAACAAAAAAGCAUUUCUUAUUUUGCAGAGAAACAGAGUUUUCUCUAAAAAUAUGAAAAACAAGCAAUAUCUGUAGUAUGAGUUUCUUUGAUUAAUUAUUGGUCUGACCAAAUUCAGACCUUUUUUAAAUUGGAGGGGGGUUGAAUGGCCGAAUGGUUAGCACGUUCGUGCUUUAUCAUAAGACCUGUCAUUGAGUCAACUGGCAUGGUUUCGAAUCCCCGGUUGUACACGACAAGGGGUAGGGUUGCCUGUCCAACCUCGUGGGUUUUCUCCGGGUCCUCCGGUUUCCUCCCACUGCUAAAGACCCCUACGCGCAAGCGAAUUAUAGAAAUAAAAUUAAACCAUAUGUUAGUCCCGAAAUGACCUAGUUUGUGUUGAGUGGACGUUAAACCCCAUUUCUCUCUCUCUUUUUAAAUUAGCAGUUGUGAUACUGGUUGGCUCCAUUGGCUAGAUCUGAUAUUUGCAAUUGAAUUUUAUCUGUCAAUCAAUGAAAAAAAAUGCAUCCUUCACAUAUACUAUAUAUAAGGCCCCUGAAUUUAUUAUUUGUUUGCGAUAUCAACCUAUGUGGAAGUGGACCUAAAACUCCAGGAAAGAACCAAUGAUUAUAUAGACACAAAAGGAAUUGUCAAGGAAAGGAAUGAAUGGUGUUUAUCAUGUCUUGUAAAAAUACUCUUGUAUGGUUGGUUUAACUGCUAGAUGUGUUUCUAGAUACUGUGUAAAAGUACACUUGUAUUAUAACAAGUUUAACUGCUAGAUGUGUUUCUAGAUACUGUGUGUUGUUAAUUUAUAUAAAAUAUAUAUUAAAUAAAAUCAUGUUAAGUUUUUAAAAGAGGUUACGGUUUACCUUGAUCUGAAUUUCUAAUAUUGGCAUGCUCUUAUUCAUUCCAAAUAAAACCAUUUGAAAAUAA